GACGAACGCUGGCGGCGUGCUUAACACAUGCAAGUCGAACGGAAAGGCCCUGCUUUUGUGGGGUGCUCGAGUGGCGAAAGGGUGAGUAACAAGUGAGUAACCUGCCCUUGACUUUGGGAUAACUUCAGGAAACUGGGGCUAAUACCGGAUAGGAGCUACUGCUGCAUGGUGGGGGUUGGAAAGUUUCGGCGGUUGGGGAUGGACUCGCGGCUUAUCAGCUUGGUGGUGGGGUAGUGGCUUACCAAGGCUUUGACGGGUAGCCGGCCUGAGAGGGUGACCGGCCACAUUGGGACUGAGAUACGGCCCAGACUCCUACGGGAGGCAGCAGUGGGGAAUAUUGCACAAUGGGCGGAAGCCUGAUGCAGCAACGCCGCGUGCGGGAUGACGGCCUUCGGGUUGUAAACCGCUUUCGCCUGUGACGAAGCGUGAGUGACGGUAAUGGGUAAAGAAGCACCGGCUAACUACGUG
Molecule: ribosomal RNA, 468 nt
Filed under: uncultured bacterium
Lineage: Bacteria
Description: partial 16S ribosomal RNA
Rfam family: Bacterial small subunit ribosomal RNA
Source: RNAcentral